AGAGUUUGAUCCUGGCUCAGGACGAACGCUGGCGGCGUGCUUAACACAUGCAAGUCGAACGGAGCCCAUCCGGUGGCAACACUGGUGAAGACUCAGUGGCGAACGGGUGCGGAACACGUGAGCAACCUGCCCCAAAGACCGGGAUAACACCGGGAAACUGGUGCUAAUACCGGAUACCCCCACGAGCUCGCAUGGGCUUGUGAGGAAAGGGUUUCCGCUUUGGGAGGGGCUCGCGGCCUAUCAGCUUGUUGGUGAGGUAACGGCUCACCAAGGCGACGACGGGUAGCUGGUCUGAGAGGACGAUCAGCCACACUGGGACUGAGACACGGCCCAGACUCCUACGGGAGGCAGCAGUGGGGAAUCUUGCGCAAUGGGCGAAAGCCUGACGCAGCAACGCCGCGUGGGGGAUGAAGGCCUUCGGGUUGUAAACCCCUUUCAGUGGGAACGAAAUUGACGGUACCCACAGAAGAAGCCCCGGCCAACUACGUGCCAGCAGCCGCGGUGAUACGUAGGGGGCGAGCGUUGUCCGGAUUUAUUGGGCGUAAAGAGCUCGUAGGCGGCUUGGUAAGUCGGGUGUGAAACCUCCAGGCUCAACCUGGAGACGCCACUCGAUACUGCCCUGGCUAGAGUCCGGUAGGGGAUCACGGAAUUCCUGGUGUAGCGGUGAAAUGCGCAGAUAUCAGGAGGAACACCAGUGGCGAAGGCGGUGAUCUGGGCCGGUACUGACGCUGAGGAGCGAAAGCGUGGGGAGCGAACAGGAUUAGAUACCCUGGUAGUCCACGCCGUAAACGUUGGGCACUAGGUGUGGGGCCUUAUCGACGGGUUCCGUGCCGCAGCUAACGCAU
This 845-nucleotide ribosomal RNA is filed under the name Acidimicrobiaceae bacterium. RNAcentral's name for it is "bacterial SSU rRNA". It matches the Rfam family "Bacterial small subunit ribosomal RNA", at positions 8 to 860 of the family's 1533-position model. Lineage: Bacteria; Bacillati; Actinomycetota; Acidimicrobiia; Acidimicrobiales; Acidimicrobiaceae. The record is from RNAcentral.